GACGAACGCUGGCGGCGUGCUUAACACAUGCAAGUCGAACGGUGAAGGGAUCAGCUUGCUGGUUCUGGAUGAGUGGCGAACGGGUGAGUAACACGUGAGUAACCUGCCCCCUUCUUCUGGAUAACCGCAUGAAAGUGUGGCUAAUACGGGAUAUUCUGGGUCUGUCGCAUGAUGGGUCUGGGAAAGAUAUUGUUUCGGUGGGGGAUGGGCUCGCGGCCUAUCAGCUUGUUGGUGGGGUGAUGGCCUACCAAGGCGGUGACGGGUAGCCGGCCGGAGAGGGGGGACGGUCACACUGGGACUGAGACACGGCCCAGACUCCUACGGGAGGCAGCAGUGGGGAAUAUUGCACAAUGGGCGCAAGCCUGAUGCAGCGACGCCGCGUGAGGGAUGGAGGCCUUCGGGUUGUAAACCUCUUUCGCCAGUGAAGCAGGCCUGCUCCUUGUGGGUGGGUUGACGGUAGCUGGAUAAGAAGCGCCGGCUAACUACGUG
This 489-nucleotide ribosomal RNA is filed under the name uncultured bacterium. Its description in RNAcentral is "partial 16S ribosomal RNA". It matches the Rfam family "Bacterial small subunit ribosomal RNA", at positions 28 to 507 of the family's 1533-position model. The record is from RNAcentral.